RNAcentral lists this ribosomal RNA (641 nucleotides) under Pinnularia borealis complex sp. Its description in RNAcentral is "partial 28S ribosomal RNA". Lineage: Eukaryota; Bacillariophyta; Bacillariophyceae; Sellaphorales; Pinnulariaceae. The record is from RNAcentral.
GGCGACUGAAAUGUCACUAGCUCAGCAUGUGAAUCAGCGUUCACUUUUGUGAGCGCUGAAUUGUGGUCUUUUGGUUCUUGCAGCACAUUGUCCAGUCCAUGUUUUUUGGAAUAAUACAGCAAAGAGGGUGAAACUCCUGUUUGGCUGGACAUACGAAGCAAGCACUACUGAGUCGAGUUGUUUGGGAUUGCAGCUCAAAUACGGUGGUAAAUUUCAUCUAUAGCUAAAUACUGGUGGGAGACCGAUAGCGUACAAGUACCGUGAGGGAAAGAUGCAAAGAACUUUGAAAAGAGAGUGAAARAGUACCUGAAAUUGCUGAAAAGGAAGCGAACGAACCUAGUGAAAGCACUGUCAUACUUUCCAACUUGCUCGCAACUUGGACGCUGUGACUUGCCAAGUUCCACUGCAUCGCAGCYACCAGYAGCAGGAGCAAACCAGUGGMGAAAAGAUAYCAUUUUCGUCCACCAAUCGCACCUCCUGCAAUGCAGUCGAACCAAAUAGAUUUGUUUGCCCCGUCUAGAAACACGGACCAAGGAGUCUAACAUAUGUGCGAGUACUAAGGCAGCAUGCCUUGCUGCGAAAUGAAAGUGUCAGAGGCUGGAAUGCAUCAAGCAUUGCACAGUCCGCCGGCCCCCAUCCCU